GACGUAGGGCGCGAGCGUUGUCCGGAUUUAUUGGGCGUAAAGAGCUCGUAGGUGGUUUGUCGCGUUGUUCGUGAAAACUCACAGCUUAACUGUGGGCGUGCGGGCGAUACGGGCAGACUUGAGUACUACAGGGGAGACUGGAAUUCCUGGUGUAGCGGUGAAAUGCGCAGAUAUCAGGAGGAACACCGGUGGCGAAGGCGGGUCUCUGGGUAGUAACUGACGCUGAGGAACGAAAGCGUGGGUAGCGAACAGG
Molecule: ribosomal RNA, 253 nt
Filed under: uncultured bacterium
Lineage: Bacteria
Description: partial 16S ribosomal RNA
Rfam family: Bacterial small subunit ribosomal RNA
Source: RNAcentral